GCAGCCACUCAUUCAAAGAGUGCGUAAUAGCUCACUGGUCGAGUGAUCCUGCGCCGAAGAUUUCCGGGGCUAAAACUUACUACCGAAGCUACGGCAUCAGUAAUGAUGGGUAGGGGAGCUUCCCAUACGGGUUGAAGCAUGACCGUAAGGACAUGUGGACAGUAGGGGAGUGAGAAUGUUGGCAUGAGUAGCGAGAUGUGGGUGAGAAUCCCACAGGCCGUAAACCCAAGGUUUCCAGGGGAAGGUUCGUCCGCCCUGGGUUAGUCGGGACCUAAGCUGAGGCCGAAAGGCGUAGGUGAU
RNAcentral lists this ribosomal RNA (300 nucleotides) under Clostridioides difficile. Its description in RNAcentral is "bacterial LSU rRNA". It matches the Rfam family "Bacterial large subunit ribosomal RNA", at positions 1112 to 1419 of the family's 2925-position model. Lineage: Bacteria; Bacillati; Bacillota; Clostridia; Peptostreptococcales; Peptostreptococcaceae. The record is from RNAcentral.